UGGGGAAUAUUGCACAAUGGGCGCAAGCCUGAUGCAGCCAUGCCGCGUGUAUGAAGAAGGCCUUCGGGUUGUAAAGUACUUUCAGCGGGGAGGAAGGGAGUAAAGUUAAUACCUUUGCUCAUUGACGCUACCCGCAGAAGAAGCACCGGCUAACUCCGUGCCAGCAGCCGCGGUAAUACGGAGGGUGCAAGCGUUAAUCGGAAUUACUGGGCGUAAAGCGCACGCAGGCGGUUUGUUAAGUCAGAUGUGAAAUCCCCGGGCUCAACCUGGGAACUGCAUCUGAUACUGGCAAGCUUGAGUCUCGUAGAGGGGGGUAGAAUUCCAGGUGUAGCGGUGAAAUGCGUAGAGAUCUGGAGGAAUACCGGUGGCGAAGGCGGCCCCCUGGGCGAAGACUGACGCUCAGGUGCGAAAGCGUGGGGGGCAAACAGG
RNAcentral lists this ribosomal RNA (429 nucleotides) under Chloroflexota bacterium. RNAcentral's name for it is "Chloroflexi bacterium partial 16S ribosomal RNA". It matches the Rfam family "Bacterial small subunit ribosomal RNA", at positions 355 to 776 of the family's 1533-position model. The record is from RNAcentral. Lineage: Bacteria; Bacillati; Chloroflexota.